UACAGAGGGUGCGAGCGUUAAUCGGAAUUACUGGGCGUAAAGGGUGCGUAGGUGGUUAAUUAAGUUAGAUGUGAAAUCCCUGGGCUUAACCUGGGAAUGGCAUUUAAGACUGAUUGGCUAGAGUUUGGGAGAGGGAAGUGGAAUUUCCGGUGUAGCGGUGAAAUGCGUAGAUAUCGGAAGGAACACCAGUGGCGAAGGCGACUUCCUGGCCCGAUACUGACACUGAGGCACGAAAGCGUGGGGAGCGAACAGG
This 253-nucleotide ribosomal RNA is filed under the name uncultured prokaryote. RNAcentral's name for it is "partial 16S ribosomal RNA". It matches the Rfam family "Bacterial small subunit ribosomal RNA", at positions 524 to 776 of the family's 1533-position model. The record is from RNAcentral.